This 410-nucleotide ribosomal RNA is filed under the name uncultured bacterium. RNAcentral's name for it is "bacterial SSU rRNA". It matches the Rfam family "Bacterial small subunit ribosomal RNA", at positions 505 to 916 of the family's 1533-position model. The record is from RNAcentral.
GUGCCAGCAGCCGCGGUAAUACGGGGGUGCUAGCGUUGUUCGGAAUUACUGGGCGUAAAGCGUAUGUAGGCGGUUUGUUAAGCGGAAUGUGAAAUCCUCAGGCUCAACCUGAGAACUGCAUUCGGAACUGGCAGACUUGAGUACGGAAGAGGGAGACAGAAUUCCAGGUGGAGGGGUGAAAUCCGUAGAGAUCUGGAAGAAUACCAGUGGCGAAGGCGGUCUCCUGGUACGUUACUGACGCUGAGAUACGAAAGCGUGGGGAGCAAACAGGGUUAGAUACCCUGGUAGUCCACGCCCUAAACGAUGGAUACUGGAUAUUGGAAAGAUCUCUUUUCAGUAUCGAAGCUAACGCGUUAAGUAUCCCGCCUGGGGAGUACGAUCGCAAGAUUAAAACUCAAAGGAAUUGACGG